AAGGCUUGACCUCAAAUCA
RNAcentral lists this ribosomal RNA (19 nucleotides) under Pisolithus albus. RNAcentral's name for it is "partial 28S ribosomal RNA". The record is from RNAcentral. RNAcentral also lists the same sequence under 1 other name. Lineage: Eukaryota; Fungi; Basidiomycota; Agaricomycetes; Boletales; Pisolithaceae.